AUUGAACGCUGGCGGUAGGCCUAACACAUGCAAGUCGAACGGCAGCACAGGAGAGCUUGCUCUCUGGGUGGCGAGUGGCGGACGGGUGAGGAAUACAUCGGAAUCUACCUUUUCGUGGGGGAUAACGUAGGGAAACUUACGCUAAUACCGCAUACGGCCUACGGGUGAAAGUGGGGGACCGCAAGGCCUCACGCGAUUAG
Molecule: ribosomal RNA, 200 nt
Filed under: uncultured bacterium
Lineage: Bacteria
Description: partial 16S ribosomal RNA
Rfam family: Bacterial small subunit ribosomal RNA
Source: RNAcentral